UGGGGGAUAUUGCACAAUGGGGGAAACCCUGAUGCAGCGACGCCGCGUGGAGGAAGAAGGUUUUCGGAUUGUAAACUCCUGUCGUUAGGGACGAUAAUGACGGUACCUAACAAGAAAGCACCGGCUAACUACGUGCCAGCAGCCGCGGUAAAACGUAGGGUGCAAGCGUUGUCCGGAAUUACUGGGUGUAAAGGGAGCGCAGGCGGACCGGCAAGUUGGAAGUGAAAACUAUGGGCUCAACCCAUAAAUUGCUUUCAAAACUGCUGGCCUUGAGUAGUGCAGAGGUAGGUGGAAUUCCCGGUGCAGCGGUGAAAUGCGUAGAUAUUAGGAGGAACACCAGUGGCGAAGGCGGCUUACUGGACUGUAACUGA
Molecule: ribosomal RNA, 371 nt
Filed under: uncultured Gemmiger sp.
Lineage: Bacteria; Bacillati; Bacillota; Clostridia; Eubacteriales; Oscillospiraceae
Description: bacterial SSU rRNA
Rfam family: Bacterial small subunit ribosomal RNA
Source: RNAcentral